This 254-nucleotide unclassified non-coding RNA is filed under the name Ascomycota sp. Its description in RNAcentral is "partial contains small subunit ribosomal RNA, internal transcribed spacer 1, and 5.8S ribosomal RNA". The stretch from base 1 to 47 matches the Rfam family "Eukaryotic small subunit ribosomal RNA", at positions 1785 to 1831 of the family's 1831-position model. The record is from RNAcentral. Lineage: Eukaryota; Fungi; Ascomycota.
AAAGUCGUAACAAGGUUUCCGUAGGUGAACCUGCGGAAGGAUCAUUAAUGAAUUUUGUAGUAUUAUGCUCUGCAUGUUACUUACACUAUUUCUUACCCUUUUGUUUACCAUUCUUAGUUGCUUUGGCAGUAUGCUUUUCAGUAUCUGCCAAAGAAACCUUAUUAAACACUUUGUUAUCCAAUAAUUAGGAAUUCUAUUGUCUGAUUUAUUACUUAAUGUAUAUAAAACUUUUAACAACGGAUCUCUUGGUUCUG